This 349-nucleotide ribosomal RNA is filed under the name Tantilla vermiformis (Hallowell's centipede snake). Its description in RNAcentral is "partial 12S ribosomal RNA". The record is from RNAcentral. Lineage: Eukaryota; Metazoa; Chordata; Lepidosauria; Squamata; Colubridae.
GAUACCCCACGAUUAAUCCUACCCGCCCUAGCCUAACAGUCUAUAUACCGCCGUCGCCAGCUCACCCCCUGAGGGAAACAAAGUGAGCCAAAUAGCUAUACGCUAACACGACAGGUCGAGGUGUAACUUAUGAGCGGGCCUAUGAUGGGCUACAUUUUCUACUACAGAAAAUACGAAUAAACUAUGUAAUAAGAAACUGAAGGCGGAUUUAGCAGUAUACUAAGAAUAAAACACUUAGUCGAAACCAACGCAAUGAGAUGCGUACACACCGCCCGUCAUCCCUGUCAAUCUAACUAAAAAAUUCAUAAUAUAUCAACCCUACUUCAAAACAGGGCAAGUCGUAACAUGG